CGGUUGCAUUUUAUACUAUUUUUCUUGUUAUCACAAAAGAUAUACAGGUCAUGGUCAUAACAAUCAACUGAAGUACCGUUAUUUGUUUCAAGGCCAAAGCCAUGUAAACAUCACUAUAAAUAACUGGUCGAUCUAAGAAUAGGUGUUUUUACGUUGAACUCCCUACAGGUCUGGGUUAUAUGCACUUCACUUCAUUACUGUCAUUCUUAGUUUUUUUUUUUCUUUUUUCUUCUUUUUUUCUUGGAAGGAAAUGGUGGGGUAGUUGUUUUUUUUCUGACUUUUGCUUAACGUUAUUAUAAUUAGUUACGCUAUAUUUUUUAAUGUAUGUUAAAAGCAUAAUGAGGUAAAAUUUAACAAAUUAUCAUGAACAUGUUGCAUUUUGAAAGUUUAUAAAUGGCCGUGAACAACUUUUCAAAUAUGUACAAAACUGUUUAAGAUUUUUGUUAUUAUACAAGGAUUAAAUCUAUUUAAUGAGUUUUCGUGAGAAAACAAAAAUACAAGUCAUUUUACAUCAUCGUGGGUUAUUUUUGUAAAGCCUGUGACUUUUGUCGUAUAAAAGGCGAGACAUAGCGAUCCUACAUUCCUUAAACUAUCGUGAAAU
Molecule: long non-coding RNA, 601 nt
Filed under: Mytilus galloprovincialis (Mediterranean mussel)
Lineage: Eukaryota; Metazoa; Mollusca; Bivalvia; Mytilida; Mytilidae
Source: RNAcentral